RNAcentral lists this ribosomal RNA (505 nucleotides) under uncultured bacterium. RNAcentral describes it as "bacterial SSU rRNA". It matches the Rfam family "Bacterial small subunit ribosomal RNA", at positions 29 to 509 of the family's 1533-position model. The record is from RNAcentral.
AACGAACGCUAGCGGCGCGUUUUAAGCAUGCAAGUCGAACGGGGAUAUUAGGAGCAAUUCUGGUAUCCUAGUGGCAAACGGGUGAGUAACACGUGGAUAAUCUGCCCUCAAGACCUGGAUAGCCCGCAGAAAUGCGGAUUAAUACGGGAUGUGGUGCCUGAUCAUGAGGAUCGGGACAUUAAAGGUGGGGACCGCAAGGCCUGCCGCUUGGGGAGGAGUCCGCGGCCCAUUAGCUAGUUGGUGGGGUAAAGGCCUACCAAGGCGACGAUGGCUAGGGGGUCUGAGAGGACGAUCCCCCACACUGGUACUGAGACACGGACCAGACUCCUACGGGAGGCAGCAGUGAGGAAUAUUGGUCAAUGGGCGAAGCCUGAACCAGCCAUGCCGCGUGCAGGAUGACGGCCCUACGGGUUGUAAACUGCUUUUGUACGGAACGAAACGGUGAGCUCUAAUAAAGCUUGCUAAUGACGGUACCGUAAGAAUAAGCACCGGCUAACUACGUGCC